This 440-nucleotide ribosomal RNA is filed under the name uncultured bacterium. RNAcentral's name for it is "partial 16S ribosomal RNA". It matches the Rfam family "Bacterial small subunit ribosomal RNA", at positions 338 to 795 of the family's 1533-position model. The record is from RNAcentral.
CCUACGGGAGGCAGCAGUGGGGGAUAUUGCACAAUGGGGGGAACCCUGAUGCAGCGACGCCGCGUGGGUGAAGAAGCGCCUCGGCGCGUAAAGCCCUGUCAGCAGGGAAGAAAAUGACGGUACCUGAAGAAGAAGCCCCGGCUAACUACGUGCCAGCAGCCGCGGUAAUACGUAGGGGGCACGCGUUAUCCGGAUUUACUGGGUGUAAAGGGGGCGCAGACGGCGAUGCAAGCCAGGAGUGAAAGCCUGGGGCCCAACCCCGGGACUGCUCUUGGAACUGCGUGGCUGGAGUGCAGGAGGGGCAGGCGGAAUUCCUGGUGUAGCGGUGAAAUGCGUAGAUAUCAGGAGGAACACCGGUGGCGAAGGCGGCCUGCUGGACUGCAACUGACGUUGAGGCCCGAAAGCGUGGGGAGCAAACAGGAUUAGAUACCCGGGUAGUC